Molecule: ribosomal RNA, 998 nt
Filed under: Aestuariibacter sp.
Lineage: Bacteria; Pseudomonadati; Pseudomonadota; Gammaproteobacteria; Alteromonadales; Alteromonadaceae
Description: partial 23S ribosomal RNA
Rfam family: Bacterial large subunit ribosomal RNA
Source: RNAcentral
CCGAGAGGAGAAGAAUCCGGACCACCGGCUAAGGUCCCGAAAUGACAGCUAAGUUAAACUAACGAAGUCUGAUUGCUAUGACAGCUAGGAUGUUGGCUUGGAAGCAGCCAUUCAUUUAAAGAGUGCGUAACAGCUCACUAGUCGAGGAAUCGGGCGUGGAUAAUAAUCGGGUAUAAGUUGUCUACCGAAGCCGUGGGAUACAUAAGUAUCGGUAGGGGAGCAUUCCAUUCAGCGUUGAAGGCGUACCGUGAGGUAUUCUGGAGCGUAUGGAAAAGCAAAUGUAGGUAUAAGUAACGAUAAAGGGGGUGAGAAACCCCCUCGCCGAAAGACUAAGGUUUCCUGAUCAACGCUAAUCGGAUCAGGGUAAGUCGGGUCCUAAGGCUCAGCCGAACGGCGAGGCCGAUGGCAGAAACGGUUAAUAUUCCGUUACUACCCUUGAGGGUGACGUGGGGACGCAGUAGUGACACCGCCGCCGGCUGACGGAAUAGCCGGUUAAAUGUUGUAGGCGUAGAUCAUCGCAGGCAAAUCCGUGAUGAGAGCCGAAAGCAGAUAGUACACCACUUCCUUCGGGAAACGGUGAUAGCGCGGGUAAUCAGACUGCCGAGAAAAUCCGCUAAACAUAACUUCAUGGGUACCCGUACCGCAAACGGACACACGUAGUCGGGUUGAAUAUACUAAGGCGCUUGAGUGAUUCACGGUUAAGGAACUAGGCAAACUGACCCUGUAACUUCGGGAUAAAGGGUCCCUCCUCGCAAGAGAGGGCGCAGAGAAUCGGUCCAGGCAACUGUUUAACAAAAACACAGGGCUGUGCUAAUAUGAAAGUAGACGUAUACAGCCUGACACCUGCCCGGUGCCGGAAGGUUAAGAGGAGAUGUCAUCGCAAGAGAAGCAUUGAAUUGAAGCCCCGGUAAACGGCGGCCGUAACUAUAACGGUCCUAAGGUAGCGAAAUUCCUUGUCGGGUAAGUUCCGACCUGCACGAAUGGUGUAAUGAUCUGGA